This 28-nucleotide non-coding RNA is filed under the name Rattus norvegicus (Norway rat). Lineage: Eukaryota; Metazoa; Chordata; Mammalia; Rodentia; Muridae. The record is from RNAcentral.
UGGAAUCUGUUAUUUAGGUCUUUCUAAA